UCACGGUUUGCACCGGCAGUCUCGUUAGAGUUCCCGACAUGACUCGCUGGCAACUAACGACAGGGGUUGCGCUCGUUAUAGGACUUAACCUGACACCUCACGGCACGAGCUGACGACAACCAUGCAGCACCUUGUGAUCUGCCCGAAGGAAAAACCGUUUCCGGUCCUGUCAGACCACAUUUAAGCCCUGGUAAGGUUCCUCGCGUAUCAUCGAAUUAAACCACAUGCUCCACCGCUUGUGCGGGCCCCCGUCAAUUCCUUUGAGUUUCAUUCUUGCGAACGUACUCCCCAGGUGGGAUACUUAUCACUUUCGCUUAGCCACUCAGGUUGCCCCGAACAGCUAGUAUCCAUCGUUUACGGCGUGGACUAC
Molecule: unclassified non-coding RNA, 370 nt
Filed under: uncultured Flavobacteriaceae bacterium
Lineage: Bacteria; Pseudomonadati; Bacteroidota; Flavobacteriia; Flavobacteriales; Flavobacteriaceae
Description: contains 16S-23S intergenic spacer region
Source: RNAcentral